RNAcentral lists this ribosomal RNA (497 nucleotides) under uncultured bacterium. RNAcentral's name for it is "partial 16S ribosomal RNA". It matches the Rfam family "Bacterial small subunit ribosomal RNA", at positions 28 to 507 of the family's 1533-position model. The record is from RNAcentral.
GAUGAACGCUGGCGGCGUGCCUAAUACAUGCAAGUCGAGCGAACAGAUGAGGAGCUUGCUCCUCUGACGUUAGCGGCGGACGGGUGAGUAACACGUGGAUAACCUACCUAUAAGACUGGGAUAACUUCGGGAAACCGGAGCUAAUACCGGAUAAUAUAUUGAACCGCAUGGUUCAAUAGUGAAAGACGGUUUUGCUGUCACUUAUAGAUGGAUCCGCGCCGCAUUAGCUAGUUGGUAAGGUAACGGCUUACCAAGGCAACGAUGCGUAGCCGACCUGAGAGGGGGAUUCGGCCCACCGGAACCGAGACACGGGUCAGAAUCCCAAGGGAGGGAGCAGUAGGGAAUUCUUCGCAAUGGGCGAAAGCUUGACCGAGGAAAGCCGCGUGGGUGAAGAAGGGCUUCGGGUUGGAAAACCUUUUUUUUAGGGAAGAAAAAAAGGUGAAGGAAACAAUGCAGGUCUGAAGGUAACUAAACAAAAAGCCCCGGCUAACUUCGGG